GAAAAGUUGCUUUUGUUCUUUUGGACAUCCUUUUCAUUACAAAAAUAGGUUUCCCUAUCGGUGAAGGUGAAGAAAGAUGAGAAAAUAAUGUUUUUAAAAAUUAAAAAUAAUAUAUUUCUAAAGGUGACAAGGGAAGGCAAAAAAAAAAAAGGAAUAAAAUGGUAAGUAGAGAGUAGAUUUUGCGCGUGAAGAAAACAUACAUAACACAGGAACUUUCUUCUGCGUCUUCUCUGCUUGUGUUACAUUUCUGCAACAAAGCUCUCAACUUUUUGCCAUAAAUGAGUGACCCCAAGUAUGCAUAUCCCUACCCUGCUCAAGGACAAGGGUACUAUCAAGGUCCUCCGGUGAUGGCACCACCGCAAUAUUAUGCUGCUCCACCACCCAGAAGACAAACUGGAUUCCUUGAAGGAUGUCUUGCAGCUCUGUGUUGUUGCUGCCUCAUAGACGAGUGCUGCUGUGACCCUUCGAUCAUAUUUAUCAGUUGACAGCAUCAAAGUUUGAUUACUACAAAUGGAAAAAUUAAAUAAAGAAGCUACAAAAAUAUGCAUGCACUAUCAGGCUUUAUUAGUUAGCAUAGUAUAUGUAUGUACUGUAUAUUUUUACUUGAUAUGAGUAUCGUGUAUUUUCCAACUUGGUCACUGUUGUGUUUGGUGUGUGUGUGGUUUAUCCUCUCUUACUGAAGAUUAUUGGUUCUUCAGUGAUUUGAUCUGCAAUGUCGAAAUUAGAAACCAAACUAUUCUUGUGCAAUUACAAAGAAAAAAAUUGUUGUGCAUUCAAUUGGGUUGGUCCAUCACGGGUUCCCCAUUUGUCUUAGGUCUAAUCAUUUUGAAUUUGGAGUGUGGAAAUUAGUAACUUUGGCAUACAGCCAAUGUGACUUUAUCAAAAGCUGAGUGUGACCCUAUAGUUUUCUGCAACAAUUUUUUUUCUUUC
Long non-coding RNA from Vigna unguiculata (cowpea), 930 nucleotides. RefSeq lists it as uncharacterized. Lineage: Eukaryota; Viridiplantae; Streptophyta; Magnoliopsida; Fabales; Fabaceae. The record is from RefSeq and is a predicted model, not a curated record.